RNAcentral lists this ribosomal RNA (467 nucleotides) under uncultured bacterium. RNAcentral's name for it is "partial 16S ribosomal RNA". It matches the Rfam family "Bacterial small subunit ribosomal RNA", at positions 28 to 507 of the family's 1533-position model. The record is from RNAcentral.
GAUGAACGCUGGCGGCGUGCUUAACCCAUGCCAGUCGAACGGAAAGGCCCAAGCUUGCUUGGGUACUCGAGUGGCGAACGGGUGAGUAACACGUGGGUGAUCUGCCCUGCACUUCGGGAUAAGCCUGGGAAACUGGGUCUAAUACCGGAUAGGACCACUUCUUGGAUGUUGUGGUGGAAAGUUUUUUCGGUGUGGGAUGAGCUCGCGGCCUAUCAGCUUGUUGGUGGGGUAAUGGCCUACCAAGGCGUCGACGGGUAGCCGGCCUGAGAGGGUGUACGGCCACAUUGGGACUGAGAUACGGCCCAGACUCCUACGGGAGGCAGCAGUGGGGAAUAUUGCACAAUGGGCGCAAGCCUGAUGCAGCGACGCCGCGUGGGGGAUGACGGCCUUCGGGUUGUAAACCCCUUUCGCUAGGGACGAAGCGUUUUGUGACGGUACCUGGAGAAGAAGCACCGGCUAACUACGUG